Molecule: ribosomal RNA, 727 nt
Filed under: Pseudomonas aeruginosa
Lineage: Bacteria; Pseudomonadati; Pseudomonadota; Gammaproteobacteria; Pseudomonadales; Pseudomonadaceae
Description: bacterial SSU rRNA
Rfam family: Bacterial small subunit ribosomal RNA
Source: RNAcentral
UGCAGUCGAGCGGAUGAAGGGAGCUUGCUCCUGGAUUCAGCGGCGGACGGGUGAGUAAUGCCUAGGAAUCUGCCUGGUAGUGGGGGAUAACGUCCGGAAACGGGCGCUAAUACCGCAUACGUCCUGAGGGAGAAAGUGGGGGAUCUUCGGACCUCACGCUAUCAGAUGAGCCUAGGUCGGAUUAGCUAGUUGGUGGGGUAACGGCCUACCAAGGCGACGAUCCGUAACUGGUCUGAGAGGAUGAUCAGUCACACUGGAACUGAGACACGGUCCAGACUCCUACGGGAGGCAGCAGUGGGGAAUAUUGGACAAUGGGCGAAAGCCUGAUCCAGCCAUGCCGCGUGUGUGAAGAAGGUCUUCGGAUUGUAAAGCACUUUAAGUUGGGAGGAAGGGCAGUAAGUUAAUACCUUGCUGUUUUGACGUUACCAACAGAAUAAGCACCGGCUAACUUCGUGCCAGCAGCCGCGGUAAUACGAAGGGUGCAAGCGUUAAUCGGAAUUACUGGGCGUAAAGCGCGCGUAGGUGGUUCAGCAAGUUGGAUGUGAAAUCCCCGGGCUCAACCUGGGAACUGCAUCCAAAACUACUGAGCUAGAGUACGGUAGAGGGUGGUGGAAUUUCCUGUGUAGCGGUGAAAUGCGUAGAUAUAGGAAGGAACACCAGUGGCGAAGGCGACCACCUGGACUGAUACUGACACUGAGGUGCGAAAGCGUGGGGAGCAAACAGGAUU